Molecule: ribosomal RNA, 116 nt
Filed under: Escherichia coli
Lineage: Bacteria; Pseudomonadati; Pseudomonadota; Gammaproteobacteria; Enterobacterales; Enterobacteriaceae
Source: RNAcentral
UCUGGCGGCAGUAGCGCGGUGGUCCCACCUGACCCCCUGCCGAACUCAGAAGUGAAACGCCGUAGCGCCGAUGGUAGUGUGGGGUCUCCCCAUGCGAGAGUAGGGAACUGCCAGAC